Molecule: transfer RNA, 74 nt
Filed under: Candidatus Woesearchaeota archaeon CG10_big_fil_rev_8_21_14_0_10_30_7
Lineage: Archaea; Nanobdellati; Candidatus Woesearchaeota
Description: tRNA-Arg
Rfam family: tRNA
About the family: Transfer RNA (tRNA) molecules are approximately 80 nucleotides in length. Their secondary structure includes four short double-helical elements and three loops (D, anti-codon, and T loops).
Source: RNAcentral
GGGCGAUUAGUUCAGCUUGGAUAGAACGCGGCCCUGCGGAGGCCGAAACCGGGGUUCAAAUCCUCGGUCGCCCG